This is a long non-coding RNA of Callithrix jacchus (white-tufted-ear marmoset), 414 nucleotides long. RefSeq lists it as uncharacterized. The record is from RefSeq and is a predicted model, not a curated record. Lineage: Eukaryota; Metazoa; Chordata; Mammalia; Primates; Cebidae.
UGCCGGCUCCUGUCCUAGAUCAACUCAGAAAGUAAAACACAUGGGAUGUGCGUGACCCAUCCGUCAGUGUGAGACCUGCAGUGACCACUUCCGCCGGCUGCACAAACCUGGAGAGAGGCUGCGGUGCCCCAACUGUGAGUUUCCAGAGGGCUGUACAAAUGUCCGCCCAUGUCCAGUCCUGUACCCAUGGCUCAAGCGCAUCUGGUCAUCACCAUCAGAGAGGAGAACUGGGUCCCACCUUCAGAGGGUGGCCUGUUACACAUUUGGAAAUAUAAACAAGUGGAAAAGAUGCCAUCAACAUUCCUACAAAGAAGGUAGAGCCAACUGGAGGUCUGCUGACAAAAACAGAUGGAAGAGGAAGAGAGAAAGGAUGGAGGGAAGAGAAGAAGAGAGGAAGGGAAGGAAGGAAAGAAG